AAAAAUUCAUUUAAGCACUUCAAUGAUUUUAAUCUUAAAUGAAUAGCGAUAUUUUGCGGUGCAGUACUCUCUCUCUCUCUCUGCCCUGUUUGUCCAUCUCUCUUAAGUUCUGAAGAGAUAUAGAGCAGCAAUCUGUCAAUGAUUUUCUGUGUCGUAGAAAAUCAGACAUGGUCUUCUAUCCCAGGAUGUUUUUGUAAGAGUCGGCCUCAUUUCCAUAAACUAUGGCUAGACUUUCAUACUCAUGAAUCUCAGAUCUGCCCAAAAGAAAAUCGGACAUGGUCUUCGAUUUCAGGUGGUUUUUGUAAGAAUUCGACUUCAUCGAUUGUAAAUUAUGGCGAGAAUUUCAUACCCAUAAAAUUUCGCAGACAGGGCUGCUAGGUGCUUUCAUUAUCGAAAAGCUUUUUUUUUGCAAGGUAUAUCGUUAGGAUUUACAUGUUAUGCCAAAAGAAAUUUCUUUUAAUAUCAGAGUGUCUUUCUAUUUCUAUGUUGAAAGGACCCUUGGUUUUCACAAUAGAUUUUUUUUUCCUUGACAACUUGCUUUCUGGCAUAUUGAGGCACUCAACAAAUCGUGAGGUUGCUCUUAUGAUGCUCAUGGCAUAGCUUUCAUAUAUGCUGGCUGAAAUUUUGAUAUGUAUUGCAGCUAUUCUAUUAGAGUGGCAUUCUCACUAUAUUCUUUUGUGGGAUUGUGAUGUCAAUAUGGGUGCCUUGGACAUUGAAAAGUGGAGAUUUGUAAGUGAUGGGUCCUCAUUCAAUUACUGGAAAUGCGGUUGGAUUCAAUAUAUUGGACAUGGACGUAAUGGAAAGAGUUCUUGAGAUGCUGAGUUUAGAGAUACUGGAUUGAAAAGGUCUGAAAAGUUGGCAAAAGAUUUGGAGUGGUUCAAUGAGAAAGGCCAUGCCAUACCAGAACCUUCUGCUCCUGGUGUAAACUAUGCUUAGUAUCUUAAGGAAUUGUUGGAGAAGGAUCGUCAAGCAUUUUUCUGCCACUUCUACAAUAUAUACUUUGCUCAUUCAGCCAGUGGACGAAUGAUUGGGAAAAAGUUGUCCAUUGAGGAGUAGAGGAGAACGCAGACGUCAUGCCUAGAAUUAAGGCUGCCAAGAAUUUUCUUUUCUGAUUAAGUGGUUUGGUUAGAAUUAUUGCUAUUGUAUGUUAAAUAAUUUUUUUUUUUUUUAAUUUGAAAUAGUGGCAGUCACUAUUUUUCAGAUUGGUGGGUGUAUUGUAUAUUGUAACAAUGCAAAAAUCAAGUCACCAUUAAAUAUAUUAGAUUGCUUUCUAGUUGUGAGACCCACAAUUUGUAAGUCACCAAAAAAGUAAUAGUGGCAUCUUGGGUAUAUGUCACGGCAGCAAUGGGCACCAUUCACUAAAUGGUAACUAGAGGGGUGUCACUAAAUGGUAACUAGAGGGGUGUCUAUUGUUCUUCAACACCAUUGAUUGGUGGCUAUAGAUCCAAUACACUCCAUUCUCAAUGGUGUUGUUAGGUCAGUUUUGUGGUAGUGCUUACAUACGGUAUUGCUAAUAUAAGUUAAAUAUUCUUGCUGAGCUGCUGUGUUUUGGGGAUUGAGAGUUCUAUAUAGAUUGCUAGAAUGCAAAAUCAGUUGAGGAGGUAGGUUCUAUGUCCUGUGAAAUGCAUUAGUAGUUCGUCCUCUUACAGAUCUUUGCUGACAUGAAAUUUCUGACCAUUGACUUUUGUUGUACGGCUCUUCUGGCUUUUUGGCUGCAUCAGUAUUGCUUAGGCCCCAUUGAUUAGAUUACUCAAUAUAUCUGUUUUUCUUAUUCAAAUCUUCAAAUUUAGAUACCACUAUAUUUUUUCAACACUUUCUUGGUCCAAAUUUUCUGUUUCUAAUAAUAUCAAGAAGAAAACAAAGACCUUAGAUACAGAUAAAAUAUCAAGAAGAAAACAAAAACCUUAGAUACAGAUAAAUCAGAUGCAAACUAUAUAUAAACAGUGGUCAAUUUCUAAUGCCUUCUCCAAUAACAUUGAUUAAGGAGAUUAAUGCUCUAAAAUCUAAAACAUAUUUUCUUUUAAGCAUUACCUCCUCUUAUUCUAAAUUAAAGUUCUCAUUAGAGAAAUGACCAAAAUACUACUUCUGUUAUUGUGUCUGUU
Molecule: long non-coding RNA, 2102 nt
Organism: Rosa chinensis
Lineage: Eukaryota; Viridiplantae; Streptophyta; Magnoliopsida; Rosales; Rosaceae
Exons: 6
Source: RefSeq, a predicted model, not a curated record